CCUACGGGAGGCAGCAGUAGGGAAUAUUGCUCAAUGGGGGAAACCCUGAAGCAGCAACGCCGCGUGGAGGAUGAAGGUUUUCGGAUUGUAAACUCCUUUUGUUAGAGAAGAUAAUGACGGUAUCUAACGAAUAAGCACCGGCUAACUCCGUGCCAGCAGCCGCGGUAAUACGGAGGGUGCAAGCGUUACUCGGAAUCACUGGGCGUAAAGGGCGCGUAGGCGGGAUAGCAAGUCAGAUGUGAAAUCCUAUGGCUUAACCAUAGAACUGCAUUUGAAACUGUUAGUCUAGAGUAUGGGAGAGGUAGGUGGAAUUCGUGGUGUAGGGGUAAAAUCCGUAGAGAUCAAGAGGAAUACUGAUUGCGAAGGCGACCUGCUAGAACAUAACUGACGCUGAUGCGCGAAAGCGUGGGGAGCAAACAGGAUUAGAUACCCGAGUAGUC
RNAcentral lists this ribosomal RNA (440 nucleotides) under uncultured bacterium. Its description in RNAcentral is "partial 16S ribosomal RNA". It matches the Rfam family "Bacterial small subunit ribosomal RNA", at positions 338 to 795 of the family's 1533-position model. The record is from RNAcentral.